Molecule: ribosomal RNA, 350 nt
Filed under: uncultured Bacteroidota bacterium
Lineage: Bacteria; Pseudomonadati; Bacteroidota
Description: bacterial SSU rRNA
Rfam family: Bacterial small subunit ribosomal RNA
Source: RNAcentral
CAAGGUGCUGCAUGGUUGUCGUCAGCUCGUGCCGUGAGGUGUCGGGUUAAGUCCCAUAACGAGCGCAACCCCUACUUGUUAGUUGCCAUCAGGUCAUGCUGGGGACUCUAACAAAACUGCCCGCGUAAGCGUGGAGGAAGGUGGGGAUGACGUCAAAUCAGCACGGCCCUUACGUCCAGGGCUACACACGUGCUACAAUGGCCGGUACAGAGGGCAGCCACUUGGUGACAAGGAGCAAAUCUCAAAAGCCGGUCUCAGUUCGGAUCGGAGUCUGCAACUCGACUCCGUGAAGUUGGAUUCGCUAGUAAUCGUAGAUCAGCAAUGCUACGGUGAAUACGUUCCCGGGCCUU